This 489-nucleotide ribosomal RNA is filed under the name uncultured bacterium. RNAcentral describes it as "partial 16S ribosomal RNA". It matches the Rfam family "Bacterial small subunit ribosomal RNA", at positions 30 to 507 of the family's 1533-position model. The record is from RNAcentral.
AUUGAACGCUGGCGGCAGGCCUAACACAUGCAAGUCGAACGGUAACAGGAAGCAGCUUGCUGCUUCGCUGACGAGUGGCGGACGGGUGAGUAAUGUCUGGGAAACUGCCUGAUGGAGGGGGAUAACUACUGGAAACGGUAGCUAAUACCGCAUAACGUCGCAAGACCAAAGAGGGGGCCUUAGGGCCUCUUGCCAUCGGAUGUGCCCAGAUGGGAUUAGCUAGUAGGUGGGGUAACGGCUCACCUAGGCGACGAUCCCUAGCUGGUCUGAGAGGAUGACCAGCCACACUGGAACUGAGACACGGUCCAGACUCCUACGGGAGGCAGCAGUGGGGAAUAUUGCACAAUGGGCGCAAGCCUGAUGCAGCCAUGCCGCGUGUAUGAAGAAGGCCUUCGGGUUGUAAAGUACUUUCAGCGGGGAGGAAGGGAGUAAAGUUAAUACCUUUGCUCAUUGACGUUACCCGCAGAAGAAGCACCGGCUAACUCCGUG